UACCUACUCCCUCCGUCCGAAAAAGCCUGUCCCUCAAAUGGAUGUAUCUAGCAUCAAAUUAGUGCUAGAUACAUCCAUUUGAGGGACAAGCUUGGGACAAGCCUUUUUGGACGGAGGGAGUAGUGU
Hordeum vulgare subsp. vulgare (domesticated barley) is the source of this 126-nucleotide non-coding RNA. NCBI's taxonomy places the organism in Eukaryota, Viridiplantae, Streptophyta, Magnoliopsida, Poales, Poaceae. The record is from Rfam.